This 358-nucleotide unclassified non-coding RNA is filed under the name soil metagenome. RNAcentral's name for it is "partial contains 5.8S ribosomal RNA, internal transcribed spacer 2, and large subunit ribosomal RNA". The stretch from base 1 to 120 matches the Rfam family "5.8S ribosomal RNA", at positions 35 to 154 of the family's 154-position model. The record is from RNAcentral.
GAUGAAGAACGCAGCGAAAUGCGAUAAGUAAUGUGAAUUGCAGAAUUCAGUGAAUCAUCGAAUCUUUGAACGCACAUUGCGCCCGUCAGUAUUCUGGCGGGCAUGCCUGUUCGAGCGUCAUUACGCCCCUCAAGUCCCCUGUGGACUUGGUGUUGGGGAUCGGCGAGGCUGGUUUUCCAGCACAGCCGUCCCUUAAAUUAAUUGGCGGUCUCGCCGUGGCCCUCCUCUGCGCAGUAGUAAAACACUCGCAACAGGAGCCCGGCGCGGUCCACUGCCGUAAAACCCCCCAACUUUUUAUAGUUGACCUCGAAUCAGGUAGGACUACCCGCUGAACUUAAGCAUGUCAAUAAGCGGAGGA